Molecule: ribosomal RNA, 249 nt
Filed under: uncultured Luteolibacter sp.
Lineage: Bacteria; Pseudomonadati; Verrucomicrobiota; Verrucomicrobiia; Verrucomicrobiales; Verrucomicrobiaceae
Description: partial 16S ribosomal RNA
Rfam family: Bacterial small subunit ribosomal RNA
Source: RNAcentral
UCGAGAAUAAUUCACAAUGGGGGAAACCCUGAUGGUGCAACGCCGCGUGGAGGAUGAAGGUCUUCGGAUUGUAAACUCCUGUCAUCCGGGAGUAAGACCUGGCGGUAAAUAGCCGACAGGGUUGAUAGUACCGGAAGAGGAAGGGACGGCUAACUUCGUGCCAGCAGCCGCGGUAAUACGAAGGGCCCAAGCGUUGUUCGGAAUCACUGGGGGUAAAGGGUGCGUAGGCGGGUUGGUAAGUCGGAUGUG